Non-coding RNA from Phoenix dactylifera (date palm), 1310 nucleotides. Lineage: Eukaryota; Viridiplantae; Streptophyta; Magnoliopsida; Arecales; Arecaceae. The record is from RefSeq and is a predicted model, not a curated record.
UGCCCUUCGUCGAAGGGACUCCGCUGCCAUCUUUUAGGGCUAGGGUUAGUGUUUUGGAGUUUCCCCGAAGGGUUUGUGAGCCAAGCGAGAGCGAGCGCUGCCAAAAUGGGUAUCUCUCGGGAUUCUAUGCACAAGAGGCGCGCCACCGGAGGGAAGAAGAAAGCCUGGAGGAAGAAGAGAAAGUAUGAGUUGGGCCGGCAGCCGGCAAACACUAAGUUGUCGAGCAACAAGACAGUGAGGAGGGUUCGGGUGAGGGGAGGCAACGUGAAGUGGAGGGCCCUCCGAUUGGACACUGGGAACUACUCGUGGGGAAGCGAGGCCGUGACUCGCAAGACCCGUAUCCUUGAUGUGGUGUACAAUGCCUCGAACAAUGAGCUCGUGAGGACGCAGACUCUUGUGAAGAGCGCUAUCGUGCAGGUUGAUGCUGCUCCCUUCAAGCAGUGGUACAUCCAGCAUUAUGGUGUUGAAAUUGGAAGGAAGAAGAAGACCCCUGCUGCCAAAAAGGAAGCAACUGAGCAAAUCCAAUUUGGAUGCAAGCUUCAGAUCAAUGUCUGCUGUACCGCCCCCGUACUGCCCAAUACGGGACGUACCGUACCGUACCGUACCGAGAGAAAACUGGUACGAAACAUAUAUUCAAGUCGGUACAAGUCUACCGAAGUAUACCGCCCCAUAUCGAGGCAUACCGACUGGUAUUGAGGCGUACCGAGAUAAAAAUUGAGAAAAUGGAUAAAAAAGCUAUUUUGGCGCAGAGGUAUACCAUACCGAAUCGGGGCAAGAGGGGGACGGUGCUGCGGAGGAAGUGAAGAAGAGCAGCCAUGUUCUUAGGAAGCUAGAGAAGCGUCAACAAGGUCGCCAACUUGAUCCCCACAUUGAGGAGCAAUUUGGAAGUGGGAGGCUGUUGGCUUGCAUCUCUUCUCGCCCUGGUCAAUGCGGCAGAGCUGAUGGAUACAUAUUAGAAGGCAAGGAGCUUGAGUUUUACAUGAGGAAGAUCCAGAAGAAGAAGGGCAAGGCAGGUGCUGCUGCUUAAGUGGAGUUCUUUUAAAUUUGCUUGUUAUGCAUCCAUGCACUUUGGUUUUUUUUUUGAGAUUCAGAGGUUGAACCGCAAAAUUUAUGGUUCAUUAAAAUUUUGUAAUGCAAUUUAACCAUAUCAGAGGUGAGGAUACUUGUUUGGUUAUAGUUUUGAGCUUUAGAUGGUUAUCUGUUGUGUAGACUCCAUACUGUGCUUUUGUUGAGGAAAAGCUGAUUCCAAGUUAUAUUUCAUUAGAAUAAUGUUAAACGCAGGUCUUCGAUGUUAUAAGUGUUUUUGUUAA